Molecule: ribosomal RNA, 161 nt
Filed under: Streptococcus mutans
Lineage: Bacteria; Bacillati; Bacillota; Bacilli; Lactobacillales; Streptococcaceae
Description: partial 16S ribosomal RNA
Rfam family: Bacterial small subunit ribosomal RNA
Source: RNAcentral
GACGGUGAAUGCGUACGAUAUAUGGAGGAACACCGGUGGCGAAAGCGGCUCUCUGGUCUGUAACUGACGCUGAGGCUCGAAAGCGUGGGGAGCGAACAGGAUUAGAUACCCUGGUAGUCCACGCCGUAAACGAUGAGUGCUAGGUGUUGGAUCCUUUCCGA